RNAcentral lists this ribosomal RNA (880 nucleotides) under Paraboeremia putaminum. RNAcentral describes it as "LSU rRNA". It matches the Rfam family "Eukaryotic large subunit ribosomal RNA", at positions 38 to 937 of the family's 3401-position model. The record is from RNAcentral. Lineage: Eukaryota; Fungi; Ascomycota; Dothideomycetes; Pleosporales; Didymellaceae.
GCAUAUCAAUAAGCGGAGGAAAAGAAACCCAACAGGGAUUGCCCUAGUAACGGCGAGUGAAGCGGCAACAGCUCAAAUUUGAAAUCUGGCGUCUUUGGCGUCCGAGUUGUAAUUUGCAGAGGGCGCUUUGGCAUUGGCAGCGGUCCAAGUUCCUUGGAACAGGACGUCACAGAGGGUGAGAAUCCCGUACGUGGUCGCUAGCCUUUACCGUGUAAAGCCCCUUCGACGAGUCGAGUUGUUUGGGAAUGCAGCUCUAAAUGGGAGGUAAAUUUCUUCUAAAGCUAAAUACUGGCCAGAGACCGAUAGCGCACAAGUAGAGUGAUCGAAAGAUGAAAAGCACUUUGGAAAGAGAGUUAAAAAGCACGUGAAAUUGUUGAAAGGGAAGCGCUUGCAGCCAGACUUGCCUGUAGUUGCUCAUCCGGGUUUUUACCCGGUGCACUCUUCUAUAGGCAGGCCAGCAUCAGUUUGGGCGGUUGGAUAAAGGUCUCUGUCAUGUACCUCUCUUCGGGGAGAACUUAUAGGGGAGACGACAUGCAACCAGCCUGGACUGAGGUCCGCGCAUCUGCUAGGAUGCUGGCGUAAUGGCUGUAAGCGGCCCGUCUUGAAACACGGACCAAGGAGUCUAACAUCUAUGCGAGUGUUUGGGUGUCAAGCCCGAGCGCGUAAUGAAAGUGAACGGAGGUGGGAACCUUUCGGGGUGCACCAUCGACCGAUCCUGAUGUCUUCGGAUGGAUUUGAGUAAGAGCAUAGCUGUUGGGACCCGAAAGAUGGUGAACUAUGCUUGAAUAGGGUGAAGCCAGAGGAAACUCUGGUGGAGGCUCGCAGCGGUUCUGACGUGCAAAUCGAUCGUCAAAUUUGGCAUAGGGCGAAAGACUAAUCG